This 788-nucleotide long non-coding RNA is filed under the name Homo sapiens (human). RNAcentral's name for it is "HSALNT0332389". The record is from RNAcentral. Lineage: Eukaryota; Metazoa; Chordata; Mammalia; Primates; Hominidae.
UUGUGAAGAAGGUGCCUUGCUUCCCCUUUGCCUUCCACUAUGAUUGUGAGUUUCCUGAGGCCUCCCCAGCCAUGCUGAACUAUGUGUUCGGAGUUUCUUCCUUCUGGUGGGUUCGUGGUCUCGCUGGCUCAGGAGUGAAGCUGCAGACCUUCACGGUUGAGUGUUACAGCUCUUAACGCAGCGCUUGUGGAAUUGUUCGUUCCUCCCGGUGGGCUCGUGGUCUGGCUGGGCUCAGAAAUGAAGCUGCAGAUUUUCACGCUUCCAGAAGGAUAAAAAAGGAAGAAGCAAAAAGCCACUUAUACCUCUGUUUCCAAAACAUGAUGUCACUAUAAUGAAGACAAGCAACAGGACCACAGAGAGAUGCCUUCAUUCAGCCUCAAGUAUCCACAGAAAAUUAUUAUUAUCACCCCCACCACACACACACAUACCACCAAAAAAAAAAAAAAAAAAAAAAACCUCUGCAAGAUUUUUCAACUUUAUCCUAGAGAGAGCCAAAACAAACUGUAUUUUCUGGUAAGAAGAAAAUUGGUGUUCAAAACCAUAGAAAGCAUAGAUACAAAUUAUAAAUUAUAGUUCUGAAUAUUCAUACUUGUAUUCAUUAGAUUUCAUUGCCUCGGUUAUUGGCCAUGUUGUUAUGAGUAUAGAUAUGAAUCAAAGAUAAGGAGUAUUGAUUUUUGAAACCAACCCUUCAUCUUACCCUUAGUGCCACCAUUUUAUAGUUGUGUGAUUCUGAAGAAUACCAAACAAGUAUCUGGUAAAUAUAAAAUUUAUACACUUUCUGCAUAUAU